CCGGAUUUAUUGGGUUUAAAGGGAGCGUAGGCGGGAGGUCAAGUCAGCUGUGAAAUGUAUCUGCUUAACGGGUACACUGCAGUUGAAACUGGUUUUCUUGAGUGCGUAAGAGGCAGGCGGAAUUCGUUGUGUAGCGGUGAAAUGCUUAGAUAUGACGAGGAACUCCUAUUGCGAAGGCAGCUUGCUGGGUCGUUACUGACGCUGAUGCUCGAAGGUGCGGGGAUCAAACAGGAUUAGAUACCCUGGUAGUCCGCACAGUAAACUAUGGAUACUCUCUGCCGGCGAUAUAUUGUCGGUGGCCAAGCGAAAGCGUUAAGUAUCCCACCUGGGGAGUACGUUCGCAAGAAUGAAACUCAAAGGAAUUGACGGGGGCCCGCACAAGCGGAGGAACAUGUGGUUUAAUUCGAUGAUACGCGAGGAACCUUACC
RNAcentral lists this ribosomal RNA (428 nucleotides) under uncultured Bacteroidota bacterium. RNAcentral describes it as "bacterial SSU rRNA". It matches the Rfam family "Bacterial small subunit ribosomal RNA", at positions 545 to 975 of the family's 1533-position model. The record is from RNAcentral. Lineage: Bacteria; Pseudomonadati; Bacteroidota.